RNAcentral lists this ribosomal RNA (253 nucleotides) under uncultured bacterium. RNAcentral describes it as "partial 16S ribosomal RNA". It matches the Rfam family "Bacterial small subunit ribosomal RNA", at positions 524 to 776 of the family's 1533-position model. The record is from RNAcentral.
GACAGAGGGUGCAAACGUUGUUCGGAAUUAUUGGGCGUAAAGAGCUCGUAGGCGGUCUGUCGCGUCUGCUGUGAAAACCCGAGGCUCAACCUCGGGCCUGCAGUGGGUACGGGCAGACUAGAGUGCGGUAGGGGAGAAUGGAAUUCCUGGUGUAGCGGUGGAAUGCGCAGAUAUCAGGAGGAACACCGAUGGCGAAGGCAGUUCUCUGGGCCGUAACUGACGCUGAGGAGCGAAAGCGUGGGGAGCGAACAGG